RNAcentral lists this ribosomal RNA (200 nucleotides) under uncultured bacterium. RNAcentral's name for it is "partial 16S ribosomal RNA". It matches the Rfam family "Bacterial small subunit ribosomal RNA", at positions 30 to 232 of the family's 1533-position model. The record is from RNAcentral.
AUUGAACGCUGGCGGCAGGCCUAACACAUGCAAGUCGAGCGCGAAAGUUCUUCGGAAUGAGUAAAGCGGCGGACGGGUGAGUAAUACAUGGGAAUCUGCCUGGUAGUGGGGAACAACGUUUCGAAAGGAACGCUAAUACCGCAUACGCCCUACGGGGGAAAGGGGGGGAGUCUUCGGACCUCUCGCUAUCAGAUGAGCCC